AAAAAAAAAAAGUCUCACUAUAUUGCCCAGAUUAGUCUUAAACUCCUGGCCUUAAGUGAUUCUCCUGCCUCGGCCUCCCAAAGUGCUAGGAUUACAGAUCUGAGCCACUGUGUCAGCCGUACAUGUAUGUUUUGGCACACACGUGUACAUAUAUCUGUUGGAUAUAUAUUAAGGAGUGGAAUUUUGAGAUCACAGAGUUUGCAUAUACCAGGUUUAGUACAUACUGCUAGUUUUCUAAAUUGAUUUUUCUAAUUGUUAAAAUCCUCGCUAACACUUGAUAUGGUCAGUACUUUUCAUUUUAGCCAUUCUAAUGGGUAUGUAGUGGUAUUGCCUUACCUGAAUGUCUAUUUCUUUGAUGAUUAGUGAGGUUGAGCAGCUUUUCACAUGCAUAUGACCAUGUGGAUAUACUCUUCUGUGAACUACCUGUUCAAGUCUGAAGCAGAUACUAUUUGGUAGUAUCAACUAAAACUGAAUAUAAUACAUACCCUAAAUUUAGCAAUUUUGUACCUAUUUUUUUCUUACACACCUGUAAUCCCAGCACUUCGGGGGACUGAGGCGAGCGGAUCACCUGAGGUCAGUAGUUCGAGACCAGCCUGACCAACAUGGAGAAACCCUGUCUCUACUAAAAAUACAGAAUUAGCCAGGCAUGGUGGCACGUGCCUGUAAUCCCAGUUACUCGGGAGGCUGAGGCGGGAGAAUCACUUGAACCCAGGAGGCGGAGGUUGCAGUGAGCUGAGAUCUCGCCAUUGCACUUCAGCCUGGGCAACAACAGCGAAACUCCAUCUCAAAAAAAAAAAAAAAGAAAAGAAAAAAUCUCUCUUUCCACUGUAAGUACUAUCAGUUAGCUUUCUUUUGGGAGCCAUUUUUCACAAAGUAUUUUUUUACUUUAUGGACAUUUUCUACAUAUAUUGAUAAAGCAAUAAAGCCUUAGUUGUAUGUAAGUGCUGAGCUAGACUCAGUCACUAGUUAACUGACUUGCUCACAUGUAACAGCCUCAUAGAAUAUGUGGUUCAGAUUUUUGCCUGAGCAAAAUGAUGUGACUAUGUUCUAAACCCUUGGGGCCACUUAAAAUAGUAGUAACUAUGAAUGUUAAAUUAUUGAAUGUAAAGAGUUUACUGUAUAUCAGUUUGCCUUUUUAUAUUCUGAAAGUGAAUUUACUGUAGAUAGAACGUUCAGAGUUCCUACUUCUAUUUAGAUAAUUAAAUGGAUAUGAGGGAAUGGGCAGGUCUCUUAGUUCCCAAGAUUCUGGCUUGGAAAGGAAAAAAAUGUCAACUUUGGAUAUGUUGAGUUUUAGGUAGCCAAUACCUUCAGCAUCAAAGAAGUGACGUCCAGUCCACAGGUAGAAAUAUAUUUGAAGUUCAGAAGAAGGGUCCACAUUGAAUAUCAAGAUUAGGGCAUUAAUAUAGACAUGAAUGAAACCAUGAGUGCACAAAACCCCAGGGAGAAUAAAUGAACUAUUUGAUAUUUAAAUGAAGUUUUGCAGUUACAUGGUAAAUCUUUACAUUUCUAUUCGUCAAAACAUGAUUUGGGUUAAACAUGGGCAAUAUCCCCAUGCCAGUCAUCUGAAUCAUUUUGUACUCUAGGUUCUGAUCUCUUCAAUCAAUCCACCUUCCUCACUACCAUCAAGCUGAUGUUGCUAGAAGGCCAACCUGGAUCUGCUCUUGACUUUAUCUGCAAAUGGGAUAAAUGCAAAAUGGAAUAAAUGUCUGGCAGAAGUCAGAACCUGGAAUUUUUACCGAUUUUGUCCAAUUUAAUUUUACAGUCAACUUGGUCAGCUACUGAGGUAUGUUGGAAGUCAUAGCCACAAUAUUUUGCAGCUUCUCCCAUCAAGGUAGUGUUUGUUUUCCCAGCCCUAGUAUUUGGGCUGGCCUUGUGCCUUGCUUUAACCAAUAAAAUGAGCAGAUGUGUUUCUGGGCUGAUUCUGGGUCUAGACCUUAAGAGACCUCCUGCUUCAGUCUCUUGAGGUCCUGCUGGCAUGUAAAGAAGCUCAGGCUAAGCCAUGGACUGAUGAGAGACCAUGUGGGGAGAUUCCCAACAAGUCCCAGCCCACAUCACAUGGAAGAAAGUCAUACAGCAGUGCCCUCAUGCAGAAUGUUGUGAAGAUAGACAUGAGUUCAUCCAGGGACCCAGCUGGCCAUGUCUCUACUUGCCUCUGCGUUUAGAUUCCAUAUCUGAGUAACAGGCAGUUGUCUUCAACCACAUGGGGUUGAAGUAGCUCACCAGUACCCUGUCCACAUUCCAGCCCUGAGUAAGGCAAUGUGUGGAGAGUAGGCAAGUUCAUUCUUGAGGUCAUUAAAGCAGAAGAAUGCCGAUCUCUUCCAUUUAUAUUUCAUUAACCAAAGCCCACUUCAAAUGGACACACUGAUUUGCAAGGGAAGCUGGGAAAUAUCUCCAGCUGGGAAGUCAUGUGCCCACCCAACAUUUUGAGUGGAGAGGGGAUCUAUUAUUUAUUUAUUUUUAUUUUUUUUAUUUUUUGUUUUUUGUUUUUUGUUUUUGUUUUUGUUUUUUUUUUGAGACAGAGUCUCGCUGUCGCCCAGGCUGGAGUGCAAUGGCGCGAUCUCGGCUCACUGCAGGCUCCGCCCCCUGGGGUUCACGCCAUUCUCCUGCCUCAGCCUCUCGAGUAACUGGGACUACAGGCGCCCACC
Symphalangus syndactylus (siamang) is the source of this 2645-nucleotide long non-coding RNA. RefSeq lists it as uncharacterized. NCBI's taxonomy places the organism in Eukaryota, Metazoa, Chordata, Mammalia, Primates, Hylobatidae. The record is from RefSeq and is a predicted model, not a curated record.